ACGCUGGCGGCGUGCCUAAUACAUGCAAGUAGAACGCUGAUGAGAGGAGCUUGCUCUUCUUGGAUGAGUUGCGAACGGGUGAGUAACGCGUAGGUAACCUGCCUUGUAGCGGGGGAUAACUAUUGGAAACGAUAGCUAAUACCGCAUAACAAUGGAUGACUCAUGUCAUUUAUUUGAAAGGGGCAAUUGCUCCACUACAAGAUGGACCUGCGUUGUAUUAGCUAGUAGGUGAGGUAACGGCUCACCUAGGCGACGAUACAUAGCCGACCUGAGAGGGUGAUCGGCCACACUGGGACUGAGACACGGCCCAGACUCCUACGGGAGGCAGCAGUAGGGAAUCUUCGGCAAUGGGGGCAACCCUGACCGAGCAACGCCGCGUGAGUGAAGAAGGUUUUCGGAUCGUAAAGCUCUGUUGUAAGUCAAGAACGAGUGUGAGAGUGGAAAGUUCACACUGUGACGGUAGCUUACCAGAAAGGGACGGCUAACUACGUGCCAGCAGCCGCGGUAAUACGUAGGUCCCGAGCGUUGUCCGGAUUUAUUGGGCGUAAAGCGAGCGCAGGCGGUUUGAUAAGUCUGAAGUUAAAGGCUGUGGCUCAACCAUAGUUCGCUUUGGAAACUGUCAAACUUGAGUGCAGAAGGGGAGAGUGGAAUUCCAUGUGUAGCGGUGAAAUGCGUAGAUAUAUGGAGGAACACCGGUGGCGAAAGCGGCUCUCUGGUCUGUAACUGACGCUGAGGCUCGAAAGCGUGGGGAGCGAACAGGAUUAGAUACCCUGGUAGUCCACGCCGUAAACGAUGAGUGCUAGGUGUUGGAUCCUUUCCGGGAUUCAGUGCCGCAGCUAACGCAUUAAGCACUCCGCCUGGGGAGUACGACCGCAAGGUUGAAACUCAAAGGAAUUGACGGGGGCCCGCA
Molecule: ribosomal RNA, 910 nt
Filed under: uncultured bacterium
Lineage: Bacteria
Description: bacterial SSU rRNA
Rfam family: Bacterial small subunit ribosomal RNA
Source: RNAcentral